Molecule: ribosomal RNA, 802 nt
Filed under: uncultured organism
Description: SSU rRNA
Rfam family: Bacterial small subunit ribosomal RNA
Source: RNAcentral
GACGAACGCUGGCGGCGUGCCUAAUACAUGCGAGUAGAACGCUGAAGAGAGGAGCUUGCUCUUCUUGGAAGAGUUGCGAACGGGUGAGUAACGCGUAGGUAACCUGCCUUGUAGCGGGGGAUAACUAUUGGAAACGAUAGCUAAUACCGCAUAACAAUGGGUGACCCAUGUCAUUCAUUUAAAAGGGGCAACUGCUCCACUACAAGAUGGACCUGCGUUGUAUUAGCUAGUAGGUGAGGUAACGGCUCACCUAGGCGACGAUACAUAGCCGACCUGAGAGGGUGAUCGGCCACACUGGGACUGAGACACGGCCCAGACUCCUACGGGAGGCAGCAGUAGGGAAUCUUCGGCAAUGGGGGCAACCCUGACCGAGCAACGCCGCGUGAGUGAAGAAGGUUUUCGGAUCGUAAAGCUCUGUUGUAAGUCAAGAACGAGUGUGAGAGUGGAAAGUUCACACCGUGACGGUAGCUUACCAGAAAGGGACGGCUAACUACGUGCCAGCAGCCGCGGUAAUACGUAGGUCCCGAGCGUUGUCCGGAUUUAUUGGGCGUAAAGCGAGCGCAGGCGGUUUGAUAAGUCUGAAGUUAAAGGCUGUGGCUCAACCAUAGUUUGCUUUGGAAACUGUCAAACUUGAGUGCAGAAGGGGAGAGUGGAAUUCCAUGUGUAGCGGUGAAAUGCGUAGAUAUAUGGAGGAACACCGGUGGCGAAAGCGGCUCUCUGGUCUGUAACUGACGCUGAGGCUCGAAAGCGUGGGGAGCGAACAGGAUUAGAUACCCUGGUAGUCCACGCCGUAAACGAUGAA